UACGUAGGGGGCGAGCGUUAUUCGGAAUCAUUGGGCGUAAAGGGCGCGUAGGCGGCUUCGUAAGUCUUGGGUGAAAGCCCUCGGCUCAACCGAGGAAUUGCCUUGGAUACUGGGAAGCUCGAGGCUGGAAGAGGACAGUGGAAUUCCCGGUGUAGCGGUGAAAUGCGCAGAGAUCGGGAGGAACACCCGCAGCGAAGGCGGCACUCUGGGCCGGUACUGACGCUGAGAGACGAAAGCGAGGGGAGCGAAUGGG
Molecule: ribosomal RNA, 253 nt
Filed under: uncultured bacterium
Lineage: Bacteria
Description: partial 16S ribosomal RNA
Rfam family: Bacterial small subunit ribosomal RNA
Source: RNAcentral